This 916-nucleotide ribosomal RNA is filed under the name Treponema sp. oral taxon 235. RNAcentral's name for it is "bacterial SSU rRNA". It matches the Rfam family "Bacterial small subunit ribosomal RNA", at positions 28 to 933 of the family's 1533-position model. Lineage: Bacteria; Pseudomonadati; Spirochaetota; Spirochaetia; Treponematales; Treponemataceae. The record is from RNAcentral.
AACGAACGCUGGCGGCGCGUCUUAAGCAUGCAAGUCGAACGGCAAGAGAGGAGCUUGCUUCUCUCCUAGAGUGGCGGACUGGUGAGGAACACGUGGGUAAUCUACCCUUAAGAUGGGGAUAGCUGCUAGAAAUAGCAGAUAAUACCGAAUACACUCAAUUUUUCAUAAGAGGAGUUGAGGAAAGAGGCUACGGCCUCGCUUAAGGAUGAGCUUGCGUCCCAUUAGCUAGUUGGUGAGGUAAAGGCUCACCAAGGCGACGAUGGGUAUCCGGCCUGAGAGGGUGAACGGACACAUUGGGACUGAGAUACGGCCCAAACUCCUACGGGAGGCAGCAGCUAAGAAUAUUCCGCAAUGGACGGAAGUCUGACGGAGCGACGCCGCGUGGAUGAAGAAGGCUGAAAAGUUGUAAAAUCCUUUUGUUGAUGAAGAAUAAGGGUAAGAGGGAAUGCUAGCCUGAUGACGGUAAUCGGCGAAUAAGCCCCGGCUAAUUACGUGCCAGCAGCCGCGGUAACACAUAAGGGGCGAGCGUUGUUCGGAAUUAUUGGGCGUAAAGGGCAUGUAGGCGGUUAUGUAAGCCUGAUGUGAAAUGCCGGGGCUUAACCCCGGAACAGCAUUGGGUACUGUAUAACUUGAAUUACGGAAGGGAAACUGGAAUUCCAAGUGUAGGGGUGGAAUCUGUAGAUAUUUGGAAGAACACCGGUGGCGAAGGCGGGUUUCUGGCCGAUAAUUGACGCUGAGAUGCGAAAGUGUGGGGAUCGAACAGGAUUAGAUACCCUGGUAGUCCACACCGUAAACGAUGUACACUAGGUGUUGGGGCAAGAGCUUCAGUGCCAAAGCAAACGCGAUAAGUGUACCGCCUGGGGAGUAUGCCCGCAAGGUGAAACUCAAAGGAAUUGACGGGGCCCGCACAAGCGGU